RNAcentral lists this transfer RNA (72 nucleotides) under archaeon. It matches the Rfam family "tRNA". Rfam says of the family: Transfer RNA (tRNA) molecules are approximately 80 nucleotides in length. Their secondary structure includes four short double-helical elements and three loops (D, anti-codon, and T loops). The record is from Rfam by way of RNAcentral. RNAcentral also lists the same sequence under 1 other name.
GGUUCCAUGGUCUAGUGGUAUGAUACUCGCUUAGGGUGCGAGUAGUCGUGGGUUCAAUUCCCACUGGAACCC